GGCGACCGGCGAAAGGGUGAGUAACGGGCGUGAGCAAACGUGCCCGUAUGUGGGGGAUAAGUCGAUGGAAACGUCGCGUAAUACCCCCGUAACACAGGUUCCCGCAUGGGAUAUGUUGAAAAGAUUAAUUGCAUACGGAUCGGCUCGCGUGCCAUUAGGUAGACGGCGGGGUAACGGCCCACCGUGCCGACGAUGGCUAGGGGUUCUGAGAGGAAGGUCCCCCACAUUGGAACUGAGACACGGUCCAGACUCCUACGGGAGGCAGCAGUGAGGAAUAUUGGACAAUGGCCGGAAGGCUGAUCCAGCCAUGCCGCGUGCGGGAGGACGGCCUAUGGGUUGUAAACCGCUUUUGCGGGGGAGCAAUAAGUGUUACGUGUAACACGAUGAGAGUACCCUGCGAAUAAGCAUCGGCUAACUCCGUGCCAGCCGCCGC
This 433-nucleotide ribosomal RNA is filed under the name uncultured bacterium. RNAcentral describes it as "bacterial SSU rRNA". It matches the Rfam family "Bacterial small subunit ribosomal RNA", at positions 90 to 518 of the family's 1533-position model. The record is from RNAcentral.